GUGCUCCCUUCAGCACACAUACUUGCUAAAAUUGGAACAAUACAGAGAUGAUUAGUCUGGCUCUUGCAUAAGGAUGACUUGCAAAUUUCAAGCAUGCUAUAUUUUUAU
Dipodomys ordii (Ord's kangaroo rat) is the source of this 108-nucleotide small nuclear RNA. The record is from Ensembl. NCBI's taxonomy places the organism in Eukaryota, Metazoa, Chordata, Mammalia, Rodentia, Heteromyidae.